GGAUUUGGGGUUCUGAAAAU
This 20-nucleotide non-coding RNA is filed under the name Rattus norvegicus (Norway rat). Lineage: Eukaryota; Metazoa; Chordata; Mammalia; Rodentia; Muridae. The record is from RNAcentral.